GACGAACCGUGCGAACGUUGUUCGGAUUCACUGGGCUUAAAGGGCGCGUAGGCGGGUCACCAAGUCUGGGGUGAAAUCUUUCGGCUCAACCGGAAAAUUGCCUUGGAUACUGGUGGUCUGGAGGGAGGUAGGGGCAUGCGGAACUUCCGGUGGAGCGGUGAAAUGCGUAGAUAUCGGAAGGAACGCCGGUGGCGAAAGCGGCGUGCUGGACCUCUUCUGACGCUGAGGCGCGAAAGCCAGGGGAGCAAACGGG
Molecule: ribosomal RNA, 253 nt
Filed under: uncultured bacterium
Lineage: Bacteria
Description: partial 16S ribosomal RNA
Rfam family: Bacterial small subunit ribosomal RNA
Source: RNAcentral